UAAAGUUGUUGCAGUUAAAAAGCUCGUAGUCGAAUUUCGAGACCGGUUUAUUGGUCGUGCUUUUGUACGUACUGGUAUUAUUGGUUUCUCCUUUCUGACGAAUCAUAAUGCCAUUAAUUUGGUGUUUUGGGGAAUCAGGACUGUUACUUUGAAAAAAUUAGAGUGUUUAAAGCAGGCUCACGCUUGAAUACAUUAGCAUGGAAUAACGAAAUAGGACGUUUGAUUUUAUUUUGUUGGUUUCUAGGAUCGACGUAAUGAUUAAUAGGG
RNAcentral lists this ribosomal RNA (267 nucleotides) under uncultured Glomus. RNAcentral's name for it is "partial small subunit ribosomal RNA". It matches the Rfam family "Eukaryotic small subunit ribosomal RNA", at positions 605 to 877 of the family's 1831-position model. Lineage: Eukaryota; Fungi; Glomeromycota; Glomeromycetes; Glomerales; Glomeraceae. The record is from RNAcentral.